RNAcentral lists this ribosomal RNA (502 nucleotides) under uncultured bacterium. RNAcentral describes it as "bacterial SSU rRNA". It matches the Rfam family "Bacterial small subunit ribosomal RNA", at positions 8 to 490 of the family's 1533-position model. The record is from RNAcentral.
AGAGUUUGAUCCUGGCUCAGGACGAACGCUGGCGGCGUGCCUAAUACAUGCAAGUCGUGCGGACCUUUUAAAAGCUUGCUUUUAAAAGGUUAGCGGCGGACGGGUGAGUAACACGUGGGCAACCUGCCUGUAAGACCGGGAUAACGCCGGGAAACCGGGGCUAAUACCGGAUCGUUUUUUCCUCCGCAUGGAGGAAAAAGGAAAGGCGGCUUCGGCUACCACUUACAGAUGGGCCCGCGGCGCAUUAGCUAGUUGGCGGGGUAACGGCCCACCAAGGCAACGAUGCGUAGCCGACCUGAGAGGGUGAUCGGCCACAUUGGGACUGAGACACGGCCCAAACUCCUACGGGAGGCAGCAGUAGGGAAUCUUCCGCAAUGGACGAAAGUCUGACGGAGCAACGCCGCGUGAGUGAAGAAGGCCUUCGGGUCGUAAAACUCUGUUGCCGGGGAAGAACAAGUGCCGUUCGAACAGGGCGGCGCCUUGACGGUACCCGGCCAGAAAG